This 480-nucleotide ribosomal RNA is filed under the name uncultured bacterium. RNAcentral describes it as "partial 16S ribosomal RNA". It matches the Rfam family "Bacterial small subunit ribosomal RNA", at positions 28 to 507 of the family's 1533-position model. The record is from RNAcentral.
GACGAACGCUGGCGGCGUGCUUAACACAUGCAAGUUGAACGAAAAGUUUUCGAGUUUUUUCUUCGGAAUGAUCACGAGGAAGGGAAGUAGCCAACUGGUGAGUAACACGUUAGAAACCUGCCUUUCACAAAGAGAUAGCCUCGAGACACCGGGAUUAAUAGCUUAUGAAACCAAACACUCGCAUGAGGGUUUUGCUAAAGAUUUAUCGGUGUUGGAUGGUCUCUCAUCUGAUUAGCUAGUUGAUGGGAUAAAAGCCUACCAAUGCAAGGAUCAGUAGCCGGAUUGAGAGGUUGAGCGGCCACACUGGAGCUGAGACACGGUCCAGAAUCCUACGCGAGGCAGCAGUGGGGGACUUUGCACCACGGAGUGAACUCUGAUGCACCUCGGCCGCGUGAGCUAUGAUAGUCUUCGGAUUGUAAUGCUCUGUCCUCAGUGCAGAUAAUGACGGUACCUAAGAAGCAAGCCCUGGCUAACUACGUG